This 483-nucleotide ribosomal RNA is filed under the name uncultured bacterium. RNAcentral describes it as "bacterial SSU rRNA". It matches the Rfam family "Bacterial small subunit ribosomal RNA", at positions 30 to 498 of the family's 1533-position model. The record is from RNAcentral.
AUUGAACGCUGGCGGCAUGCUUUACACAUGCAAGUCGAACAGUAACAGGCCUUCGGGCGCUGACGAGUGGCGAACGGGUGAGUAAUGCAUCGGAACGUGCCCAGAGGUGGGGGAUAACGCAGCGAAAGCUGUGCUAAUACCGCAUAUUAUCUGAGGAUGAAAGCGGGGGACUAAGCAGCAAUGUUUGGCCUCGCGCCUUUGGAGCGGCCGAUGUCAGAUUAGGUAGUUGGUGGGGUAAAGGCCUACCAAGCCGACGAUCUGUAGCUGGUCUGAGAGGACGACCAGCCACACUGGGACUGAGACACGGCCCAGACUCCUACGGGAGGCAGCAGUGGGGAAUUCUGGACAAUGGGCGCAAGCCUGAUCCAGCAAUGCCGCGUGCAGGAAGAAGGCCUUCGGGUUGUAAACUGCUUUUGUACGGAACGAAAAGGCUCUGGUUAAUACCUGGGGCUCAUGACGGUACCGUAAGAAUAAGCACCGGCU